AGGGCUUGACAUCCUACUAACGAAGCAGAGAUGCAUUAGGUGCCCUUCGGGGAAAGUAGAGACAGGUGGUGCAUGGUUGUCGUCAGCUCGUGUCGUGAGAUGUUGGGUUAAGUCCCGCAACGAGCGCAACCCUUAUUGUUAGUUGCUACGCAAGAGCACUCUAGCGAGACUGCCGUUGACAAAACGGAGGAAGGUGGGGACGACGUCAAAUCAUCAUGCCCCUUACGUCCUGGGCCACACACGUAAUACAAUGGUGGACAUACAGAGGGAUGCAAAGCCGCGAGGUGGAGCGAACCCCUAAAAGCCAUCUCAGUUCGGAUUGCAGGCUGCAACCCGCCUGCAUGAAGUUGGAAUUGCUAGUAAUCGCGGAUCAGCAUGCCGCGGUGAAUACGUUCCCGGGCC
RNAcentral lists this ribosomal RNA (402 nucleotides) under uncultured bacterium. RNAcentral describes it as "bacterial SSU rRNA". It matches the Rfam family "Bacterial small subunit ribosomal RNA", at positions 976 to 1380 of the family's 1533-position model. The record is from RNAcentral.